RNAcentral lists this ribosomal RNA (425 nucleotides) under uncultured bacterium. RNAcentral describes it as "bacterial SSU rRNA". It matches the Rfam family "Bacterial small subunit ribosomal RNA", at positions 355 to 796 of the family's 1533-position model. The record is from RNAcentral.
UGGGGAAUAUUGCGCAAUGGGGGAAACCCUGACGCAGCGACGCCGCGUGCGGGAUGAAGGCCUUCGGGUUGUAAACCGCUUUCAGCAGGGGCGAAUCAAGACGGUACCUGCAGAAGAAGCGCCGGCUAACUACGUGCCAGCAGCCGCGGUAAUACGUAGGGCGCGAGCGUUGUCCGGAAUUAUUGGGCGUAAAGAGCUCGUAGGCGGCCUGUCGCGUCUGCUGUGAAAUCCCGGGGCUUAACCCCGGGCGUGCAGUGGAUACGGGCAGGCUGGAGGCAGGCAGGGGAGAACGGAAUUCCCGGUGUAGCGGUGAAAUGCGCAGAUAUCGGGAGGAACACCGGUGGCGAAGGCGGUUCUCUGGGCCUGUUCUGACGCUGAGGAGCGAAAGCGUGGGGAGCGAACAGGAUUAGAUACCCCCGUAGUCC